GGAAGGAGAGAGAGAGCGGGGGCUGCUGUGCGGAGUGCCGCCUCGGGAGCGGGCAGCGCGAGGGAAACUCCUCGCCCCCUUCGUGAGCCGAAGGGACCGCUUUGCGCUAGCGAGAAGCGGGUGUUCCUGGCUCGUAACCAUCCCCUCGUCGUGGUGAGAGCGCUACCGCCGGUUGAUACUGAAUCAACUCCACGAGUGUUUACUCUCUGCAAAAUCCCAGCAGAACGAGUUAUCAGAAAAUGGAUGAAAGAAUGCCCUCUAGAGGCAGAAUUCAGCUGAAUAAAAUUCCCAGAUACAGAGAAGAAGAAUUGGAGAACAUAAACAUUACAGCCAUAUGGAGAAGAGUUGGCAUUGCUCAAGCCUCGUGUAAAUACAAACAAAUGGCAGCAGAGGGGGCAGUCUGACACAUUGGCGUCUGACAUGGAUGUGCGGAUGAAACAAAGGGAAAUGCUGCCUUCUACGAUGCCUGUUAUAGCAAUGAAACUGUAUGAAUUUCAUCCAUGAUUUCUGACAUUUGAUCUUCGUAUAGGAGCAGAGGAUGCCAAGAGAAGAGGAGCCUCGUGUGAGACCUCAGCGGGUAGCUUCUAUCCUCCCUCAUUCUGCUUCAACAGGAGCAAGCAGGAUGAGUGCUUCUCACUACCAAGAUGUUGGAGCACUGCACACGUGCUGGGACUUUUACCAAGGUGGACAAAGAGAAUGGACUCCUAAGAGAGCUCAGGACCAAGAAGAUGAGAUGAAUUCAUGGACUUUUGGAUAAUACACAGCUGAGACAGUCUACCAUGGAAGCAACUCCUACCACUUUGGAUAACACACACUGAGGAAGAUAUAGUCAUUUUUGGUGUCCCAGAGAAACAGCUGCAGUCCUCAGAGGGUUGUUAUGAGGAUGGUUUCAACACUGCUGCCUCUUUUUGUUUGAUUUGCAAUGUUAAGAAGCAACAGGAAAAAGCAAUCACCCAACUCUACCUCCACCAUCCCAGAAUAACAGGAGGAACACGUGUUUCACAGUAUUCCAGAGACUUCCUGCCCACAAGAAAGCAAUGCCUACUAAGCUGACAAAUGACUAACGCUGAUGCCCACCCUGUGUCUUUCUGAAUUUGAAUUUUGAAGAUACUGAGAACCAACAACAAAUCUUGUAAACUUUGUCGACAGCUGGGAGGAUCCAUCUUAUGGGUGAGCACUCGAUGGAGUUACUAUUUACAUUAAUUUUAAUGAUUAAAGGCUGAACACAUAAGUCUGGGUUCAUUCACCUACUCUCUGGGCAUUUACCUGACAUGUUAGGUUGAUUGUUCAGUGUCCAGAAAGUCACUGCUAUGACUUCCCUACGUGGCUGUAGGGAAGACCUGUUAGUGGCAGACAGCAUUGUCCAUCAGAAGAACCUGUUUUUUACCUUAGAGCAGGCCUUUGGAUUUUGUUAAUCAGGUACAUCAGUCAUUUAUACUGAUGAUAAACAUUUGACAAAUAAUCCGCUCUGGAAGGAGUGUGAUUUACUGCUGCAGUCUGUGUUUGUUCUAUUAAUAACAGUAAUAAUGUUUGGCAGUGGUGUAAGCAAAGGACAGAACAGAUUUCCCAAGCUCUGUCUGGCUGAGUGUGGUUUUCCAUGUUCUACUGAGAAUGUUUUGCAAGGGCCAGGCCUGUUGGGAUCAAAAGAACAUGGAAGAACAAGAGCAGAGACUUGCUGCAAGCUUGUCAUUGUGUGUAAGGAUGAAUUGCUGGGUUUGUUAGGAUUUCUCCUAUGUUAUUUCUCUCAGAUGGGUUUAAUUUGAGACUUGGAUCCUUUCGAUGUAGCACUGUGAAAGGAUUUAAUUUUUGAAGUGAAAUUUGAGUGGAAUUCUGUGUAAAUCAUGUUGAAAAUUGUCUUUAACUUUUUCUCUCACAGAAGGUGUUUGUGUUCCUUGAAAAGUAAAGGAGAUCUGUUUUCAUUAAAGGAAUGAAAACUUGCAAGCUUAAAACACUAAUACACUUUGCAAGGAUUAGUCAUGUCCAGGAUCUGUACAUGAUUUCAUUGCAAAACUGUCUUUGUUCCAUAUGUAUGACAGUUUGCAGUGAAAACAAUUCCUGCUGGGUCCAUUUCUGCAGUUCUGGGUAGCUGUUACAUUUUCUGCACCAGUAUACAAAGAACCAAUACAGCUUCCUUUCUAACACAGCUAUGCCGGAAAUCCAGUCAGUAUUAAGAGCUGUCUGACUGACAGCAGAGCAGUUAAACAAAGGUGAAUCACUCACACACACGAGGGCCCUUAUCUAGAGUACAGGAACAGGUGUUCACCAACUUGUGCAUCAGAGCAGUGUUUCUUCUUUAUGGCUGAUUGCUUAAUGGUGUGACUGAGCCCUGUGUAGUCCGGUCAGUGGAACGUGAUAGGUCUCAGAGGGCUGCAAAGGUUACACGCUAUUUGGAUGAUUUUAUUCAGCUUGACAUCUGGCUUUUCAAAGCCGCAGCUUAGCCCUUUUCUGAAAUCUUUUUGAUAGCUGCGUCAUCUCAAAGAACUAUUGCCAAAAUUUUAUUCAUAUAUUUACUACUUUAUUGAAGAACUGUAUUCCUUUCAGGUAUACCAGUUUGGAAUGAAAAUAUUACUUUUGUAAUGCACUUGAGUGUUUUUCAUUUUGUGUGGAUACAAAGUUUGGGCUCUCUUUCAAUCCUUUCUAUCAGAACGAACCUUUGUAAUAUAUUUGAUUGAUAGAUUUUAUUACUAUGGCUACUCCUAUUCUAUACAGCAGAUUUUCUUAGUGAGAGUAGUAUCUACCUCUGCCCUCGCUCAGCCUACUUUGUUUAUUACUCUUUAUUGUGGUAUUUUUUCCAUUGCUUUUCGUAAAAAUAGGCUUGCUAAAGAAUAAGGAGCUUCUCAUGUCUUUAAACCCCUGGUGUUCUGUACUGCUGCUUUACAGAGUGCAUAAUCAUGCGCACUGAAAUUUUGUUGCCUGAAAGUGUUAAGAAAUGAAAAUCAUAGAGAGCUUCCAUCUUAUGAGAUGGCUCUUUUUUUUUUUUUUUCCUUAAUUUGCAAAACUCCUUAUU
Molecule: long non-coding RNA, 3007 nt
Organism: Gallus gallus (chicken)
Lineage: Eukaryota; Metazoa; Chordata; Aves; Galliformes; Phasianidae
Source: Ensembl